Molecule: long non-coding RNA, 2676 nt
Organism: Zea mays
Lineage: Eukaryota; Viridiplantae; Streptophyta; Magnoliopsida; Poales; Poaceae
Exons: 3
Source: RefSeq, a predicted model, not a curated record
AUCUCUACUACUCUAUAUGUUAUUAUUGUAGGCGUCCACACUCUGUUGUGUUCUGCCUCCGCAGUCCGCACCCGCGACACCGCCGCCGUGAUUCGCGUGACCCCCACCCCCGCGCGUGGAAAUCCUCCUGCGCCCCGCCAGCCCAACCAGCCCGUAACUCUGCCCCAUCCCCGUCCAACCCCACGCCGUCGCCGCCAUCCGCGCCGCCAUCAAGGGGAUCUCCUUACAACAACGGACACCAUCAACGGACGAGAAUCUCCGCCCCACCCUCGUCCCCACGCCGUCGAUGGAAGGGGACUCGAGUCCGCCGCGGCCUCGGCCUCCGCGCCGGGCCACGGGUCCACCUCCGCCAUCCGCUCGCUCUUCUCCCGGCCGUUCGCUCGCUGGAGCCCGACGGAUCUGGCGCGCCCGCCCCGGCUAGGAAGCCACCCUUGCACGCCUCCGGAGGCGGCGGCGGGUGGGACGACUGGGACGAUGAUUUUUGGCCGGACAUGAGGCGGAAUCAGUCGGUUGGAUCAUUCGCCGCCACGGGGGCGCAGUCAGGGAGGCAGCCGCCGAGGUCCAAAUCAACACAGGACAUCUACACUAGGCAGCAACUGGAGGCGUCAGUGGCUAAUAAGGAUGAUUUCUUCGCCAGGAGGAUGGCGGAGAACGAGUCCAAUCCUGAGGGUAUCCCGCCAUCCCAGGGCGGCAAGUACGUUGGGUUCGGAUCCAGCCCAGCGCCAUCGGCUAAUAGGAACGGCGGUGCUGCUCAGGGCGAUGUCUUGCAGGUCGUCUCUCAGGUAAAAAAAGAUCAUCUUUGUGCUAUCGCUGCGUGCAAUGAACAAAUCCACUUCACACGCUACUCAUCACAAAUAUAAUGAACAUAGCAUAUUUUCCAUUGAUUGGAUAACAAUAUAUCAUUAAUUCAUAGGAAAACAGAACAAUUACUAUGGAGUAUAUGUUUGACUACAAUGGUAGGGCUCUGAAUUUUAUUCCUUGCUACUAUUCGGCAGUAAAAACGGAAGAUUUUAUGACUUGUAACUGUUGUUUCAUUACAUGCAUAAAUCAAUUGGUCUAUCUGGGGUUGCUCACCAUAAGAAGAUGAGCCAUGGCUGUUUGUGCCGAUCAACAGAUGAUAGGCAGUGCUCGAUGAACCUGUACUGCUCCGUUCCUGGCCUCCAGUCCAACUCGGUAUUGGCUACGCAGAAACGGAACAUCCUGUAGUCCGUUGAGUACCUAGAAUGAUAAGCUGAUGUUCGAUGAGAGCUUCUUACAGAUAAAAGGUGUCAUGAGUAGUGAAAUUUCAGCCAUCUCAGCUUCAUCAAACACCAUAAAAGGUUGUUAAUGUCCUCUUUUGCCUGUCUAUUCUUUAUUUUAGUUGAACCAGAAAUAUCUUUGUAUUUGACCACGUAUAUAAGUAGUAGCUUCAUGUUUUAUUUCAUACCAGAACUGCUCACGGUUUUCUGCUGGCAUGUAGAACAUAUUCUGAGCUGGUACCCCGCAUUCACCACCUGAGUCAAGAUUUCCAUAGAAAGAUCCUGAUCCAGGCCAAUCUCUUUCGUGGCUACCACUGCAACCACAAAUUAGUAGCAUCAGAAACAUAUAAAAAUUGUAUCGUUUCAUUACUUGAUCUGUUGUCGAAUUGGAAUCCUAGACGAACCUCCCAACCAUGUAAGGCACAGUAGAAGCAAUGGGCUCAACCUGUGCAGUGAAUUGGUCUCAUUGUGAAAGAUAGCCAUUGGCAUAUGAGCUAGUUUGUUGUGCUAAGUGAACCAGGCUCAAAGUCAUUGGACUCAUUUGAACCAUCAACCUCAGCCUGAUAAAAAAAUGCCAACUUUCGUGUCAAGCAGUUAAAAGAAAUUCCAUCUACCUUUUUGGGAGAAACACUUCCUCCUGUACUAAUAAGCAAACAAAAUUAAACACAGUAGCAGAGCACUGAAUCUCCCUUUUUUCUUGCUUGUUAGUUUGACUGUGUUUAUUAUUGGAGCUACAAACAGGCCUGAUAUCUUUGACCCCGUUCUGCUGAGGCCAGGGCGUCUUGACCAGCUGAUCUACAUUCCACUUCCUGCUGAGUAGUCUAGGCUCCAGAUCUUCAAGGUCUGCCUUAGGAAGUCCCCUGUGGCGAAGGAUGUGGACUUGAAUGCUCUUGCUAAGUACACGCAAGGGUUCAAUGGAGCAGAUAUCAGUACAUGCAGUACACCCUAUUAAGGAGUGGAAGCCAAAAUCGACAAAGAAGUCACCGACCAUCAAUGCAGAUAACAGUGUAGCUGAUGCUACAUCUCCUUCAGCUAGCAACUGUGAAAGUGCCAACACACUGAAUGUAAAUGAAUUUUCUGAAAAAAUUCACAAACUAACUUGCAUGAGGUGGAGCAUGUUAUUAUUCUAGAACAUCUUCGUGUGCAAGUGAAACAGAUUCAAUACCUAUUUUGUUCAGUUUGUUGUGAUAUUAGUGGAAUGUCAGAGCUAAUGUUUCUGUGAGCAAAAUAGAAGCAUCGAACAAAGAAGAAAUCCAUAGUGUGUGUGCCACUUGAUUUUUUAUUUUGUGCAAACUAGACAUCUCUAACAGAGAAGAAAUUCGUAGUUUGUUUAGUGCUUGUGAUUUUUUUUUAGUCUUUGAUAGUGCUCUAGACCACAGAUGUGCUUCUUUUGUUACUAAAUCUGAAUGACAACUCAUUUUCUUUUCUGUUGAAGGUG